This 382-nucleotide long non-coding RNA is filed under the name Homo sapiens (human). RNAcentral describes it as "non-protein coding lnc-POTEB3-13:8". The record is from RNAcentral. Lineage: Eukaryota; Metazoa; Chordata; Mammalia; Primates; Hominidae.
AAGUGGUACAUGAUCAGCAUUGUCCACAUUUACAAUCGAUGGAGGAACAAUGAAAUUCAGUGUUACGUUAAUGGACAACUGGUAUCUUAUGGUGAUAUGGCUUGGCAUGUUAACACAAAUGAUAGCUAUGACAAGUGCUUUCGUGGUUCAUCAGAAACUGCUGAUGCAAAUAGCGUAUUCUGUGCUAAACCUGUUGCCAUUCAGUGAAGCACUCAACCCAGCACAGAUAUUUGCAAUUCAUCAGUUAGGACCUAGAUAUAAGGUAACAUGCAGUGCUACUCUUUCGGCAUUCCUGGUUGAACUACUUAAAAGUUCAGUAGCCAUGCAAGAACAGGUGCUGGGUGGAAAAGGCUUUUUAGUUAUUGGCUAAUUACUUGAAAAG